Molecule: ribosomal RNA, 1146 nt
Filed under: uncultured Streptobacillus sp.
Lineage: Bacteria; Fusobacteriati; Fusobacteriota; Fusobacteriia; Fusobacteriales; Leptotrichiaceae
Description: bacterial SSU rRNA
Rfam family: Bacterial small subunit ribosomal RNA
Source: RNAcentral
AGACAGGGAUAACAUAUGGAAACGUAUGAUAAUACUUGAUAUUAUUAGUAUAUUGCAUGAUAUAUUAAUGAAAGGUGCGAGAGCAUGCUAUAAGAGAGCUUUGCAUCCUAUUAGCUAGUUGGUGGGGUAAAGGCCUACCAAGGCGAUGAUAGGUAGCCGGCCCGAGAGGGUGGACGGCCACAAGGGGACUGAGAUACGGCCCUUACUCCUACGGGAGGCAGCAGUGGGGAAUAUUGGACAAUGGAGGGAACUCUGAUCCAGCAAUUCUGUGUGCACGAAGAAGGUUUUCGGAUUGUAAAGUGCUUUCAGUAGGGAAGAAGGAAGUGACGGUACCUACAGAAGAAGCGACGGCUAAAUACGUGCCAGCAGCCGCGGUAAUACGUAUGUCGCGAGCGUUAUCCGGAAUUAUUGGGCUUAAAGGGCAUCUAGGCGGGUAUGCAAGUUGAAGGUGAAAGGCUGUGGCUCAACCAUAGUAUUGCCUACAAAACUGUAUACCUAGAGUACUGGAAAGGUGGGUGGAACUACACGAGUAGAGGUGAAAUUCGUAGAUAUGUGUAGGAAUGCCGAUGAUGAAGAUAACUCACUGGACAGAAACUGACGCUGAAGUGCGAAAGCUAGGGGAGCAAACAGGAUUAGAUACCCUGGUAGUCCUAGCUGUAAACGAUGAUCACUGGGUGUGGGGAUGAGAAGUCUCUGUGCCGAAGCAAAAGCGAUAAGUGAUCCGCCUGGGGAGUACGUACGCAAGUAUGAAACUCAAAGGAAUUGACGGGGACCCGCACAAGUGGUGGAGCAUGUGGUUUAAUUCGACGCAACGCGAGGAACCUUACCAGGUCUUGACAUACUCGGAAUCUAAGGGAAGCCUUGGAGUGCCUACGGGAACCGAGAUACAGGUGGUGCAUGGCUGUCGACAGCUCGUGUCGUGAGAUGUUGGGUUAAGUCCCGCAACGAGCGAAACCCCUAUCAUUAGUUGCCAUCAUUAAGUUGGGGACUCUAAUGAAACUGCCUGCGAAGAGCAGGAGGAAGGUGGGGAUGACGUCAAGUCAUCAUGCCCCUUAUGAUCUGGGCUACACACGUGCUACAAUGGGUAGUACAAAGAGGAGCGAGAUAGUAAUAUGGAGCAAAUCUUGAAAGCUACUCUCAGUUCGG